Paramuricea clavata is the source of this 1000-nucleotide non-coding RNA. The record is from the annotation of a GenBank genome assembly. Lineage: Eukaryota; Metazoa; Cnidaria; Anthozoa; Malacalcyonacea; Plexauridae.
AGACUCGCUACCAAUCCCCGUUGACUCGAUAGCUCAAUGGAUAGAGCGGCGGUCUAUAGAUAGCCGAAGAUGCGAGUUCAAAUCCCGCUCGAGCCAACGAAUAAUAUGAAACUGGGUUUUCGUAUCUCUGAGGAUGAUUCUGAAAUAGAAUUGAAACACUGCGCGUCCUCUAAGACAAGCGUUAAGUCGCCACGAAAAUAUUUCGUGCACUUAAAUUGGAUAAGACUCGCUACCAAUCCCCAGGGCUGCAUAAUAUAGCGGACCACGGGACCAUUGGUCCCAGAAAAAUUUUGAGGUUGGCAGAAAAAAAUGGAGCGUAAAACUUUAAAAUCUCAAAAGAAAGAAUGAAAGGAAGAAAAUGAGGAAAAAUAACAUAAUUGAAUAAUAAGCUGUAGGUAGUGAACUAGUGAUGUUUGCAACAUGCAAGUAAUACAAGUUUCCAAUAUACCGGUACAGAUGGCUCUCCAGCAGCCUGAAACUAUGCUCAAAGACAGGUAGAUAGCAGUCUAGCAGAUAUUAAGACAAAAUCCUCUAUGUGGUUUUUAUAUUUCAUCUAGUGUAUUAGCUACUUCUGAAAAUACCACUCCAAUUAUAUAUGAAUACAACUCGUUUAACAACUACAGUAUGUGGAUUAAAAAGUCUAUGUAUGAGUGUGGUGAUUUCUUAUAAUGCAGUAAAAAUCUAAGCAAUAUGUUCCAAUACACAACAGCCUUCCACCCUUCUCACAAACUUUCAUCCAUUAAUUAAUUAAGAUGAUAUUCAUAACAAAUAUAUUAAAAUUAUAAGAAUCUAGAAUCUUAAACUGCAGAGACUUUCCAGUGCAGGUCAUUUUCAUCAUUCAUUAAAAUGUAAAUGUUUGUUGUUAAAUUAAAAUAUAAAGACUAUUUAUUCGGUAGCCAUGUUGAAAUACGUCUACCUUGCUGGCAGUGGUUUCGGAGCUGAGGAGAAACCACUGCGAGCAAACAAACGACUUUCUAUUGAGCAUGCACGAAGAUCACAG